UGGGGAAUAUUGCACAAUGGGGGAAACCCUGAUGCAGCGACGCCGCGUGAACGAAGAAGGUAUUCGUAUCGUAAAGUUCUGUCCUAUGGGAAGAUAAUGACAGUACCAUAGAAGAAAGCUCCGGCUAAAUACGUGCCAGCAGCCGCGGUAAUACGUAUGGAGCGAGCGUUGUCCGGAAUUAUUGGGCGUAAAGGGUACGCAGGCGGUUUAAUAAGUCGAAUGUUAAAGAUCGGGGCUCAACCCCGCAAAGCAUUGGAAACUGAUAAACUUGAGUAGUGGAGAGGAAAGUGGAAUUCCUAGUGUAGUGAUGAAAUACGUAGAUAUUAGGAGGAAUACCAGUAGCGAAGGCGACUUUCUGGACACAAACUGACGCUGAGGUACGAAAGCGUGGGGAGCAAACAG
Molecule: ribosomal RNA, 402 nt
Filed under: bacterium
Lineage: Bacteria
Description: partial 16S ribosomal RNA
Rfam family: Bacterial small subunit ribosomal RNA
Source: RNAcentral